Molecule: long non-coding RNA, 3967 nt
Organism: Camellia sinensis
Lineage: Eukaryota; Viridiplantae; Streptophyta; Magnoliopsida; Ericales; Theaceae
Source: RefSeq, a predicted model, not a curated record
CUUUCAUGGUCCCCUCUUCUGUUUUCUUUGUAGUGUUUGCUUUGUGAUUUAUCUAUUGAUUAUAGGUUUGUAGCCAUUGAAUACGCCUACGAGGUGUUUGUGAAUAUGUUUAUAAGAGAAACUGCAUGCUUACUUCUCUAUGAAAGUGAAUCAACAAAAAUUCAGAAUUUACAAAUGAAAGAUAAAAGAUUCUCAAAUAAAGAUUAGUAAUAAAGAAACAUAUCCCAAUACAAUACCAAGAUGAAAACCAUCAAUUCCUACUGAAUUCACAAGAGCAAGAUGCUUUCGACGUGAACAAACCUUACCUUUCAGUCACCAAAUCAAUAUAUAUAUAUAUAUAUAUGAUUGGUCAUAUAAGAUAGAGAGAAGGAAAUGAAUCUUUUGACCACUUUUAUUUGGCUUUUUUGGUUGAUAUUUUUUUCUUUGUUUAGCUAAAAUCUAAUCUUCUGAAACUACCUCUUUUAGCAUAAUCUAUUCUAUUGAUUUUGGAGAUCUCUCUCCCUCCAUUUGUACACCUCUUUCCCACUCUUUCUCUCUCCAUACACACAUAUAUACAAACAAACACAUGGGUGUGUGUGUGGGACUUGAUUCUUCUUGGUUUAUGAAUGUUUGUAGUUGGUUCUUCAAUAAACGUGGUUUAAAUUUUGGGUUUAUAACAAUUUUGAGUAGAACAUUUGGAAAAUUUAAUUGAAGGUUUGUGGGUUUAGUUGCAAAUUUCUAUGUUGGUAGUUUUAAGGUGAAUUGAACUGACAUAAACAAGGGAAUCAAAUUUGAUUGCUCUGUUUUUGGGUUGGCUAAUAAUGGAAGUACAACUCAUGCCAGUGUAAUGUGUCGUAGGCAUUUUUUCAUGAUGGUGCUGAGGAUCAUCGCUUGCUUCUUUAUGAUUUCAAACUUGUGCUCUUUGAAUUGUCCAUUUGGGAAUCAUAAGUUUCUGUAAGGGUGUUCUCAUAGUGGGAUAAUUCAUACUUUCUUGAUUUUGUUUGUUUGUUGUUUUAUUUCAAUUGAAAUACUAGAAGGAAAACGCUUUUAGAGAUAAGUUUUUUUUUUUUUUGGCUGAAAAUGAUACAUAUUCACUUUGCUGAUAUAGAAUAUGCAAUACAUCCAUGAUGUACUUGGCAUUCUCUAGAUGUUAGCUUUUAUUGGAUCAGUAGUCUAAGCAGUGAACAUCCUCUAUGCCUCACAAUUUUUUAUCCACUUGCGUUUUUUGAACUUCCACACGGCGAUUUGACUUAGAAAUGUAGUUUCUUUUUGCUUGAUUAGCUAAUAUAGUUCUCAUGUAAAGAAUGGAAAUGAUAUAAAUUGGAAAAUUAAUAUGCACUUUAUUUUUCUUUUGAUGGGCUUUACUCAUUUUUUAUUUGAAUUCAUUAAAUAUUGAGCUUAAAGUCCUUACUAUGACCAUUUCCACGUGUGGAUUUCAAGAUGAAGCUGUUAACAGUUGGUGGAAAAAGACUGAAACUUAUGAUUUGGGACAUAGGUGAUUAACAUCAAUGACUUGUUAUUUGGAACUAUUUUGUUUAUUCAAUGUGGAAAAUUUCUCGGAUCCCAAUAGUAUUUCCCCCUUAUACAUGUAACAAAUUUUUUAGUUUUUUCUUAGAUGUUUUUGUUAUAAAUCUCUGACUCAAGGCAGGAAUGUUUCUUUUUUGGUACUGGUUUUCAUUUUCAUUGUAACUUGGCUUGUUAGGCCUUUUAAAAAUCAAACAGUGUCAAAAGAGUUGAUAUUUCCAAAAAUACCAUCAACCAAGUUCAGGAAACACCAAGACGUACAUAUACAGACAACAAGAACUGCUUACAUAGUCCACUAAGAAAUGGGUUUUUGUGAAUGUGUGUAUGAGAGAGGGAGAGAGAGAGAGAGCGCUUUUGAGAAAUUUAAAUUAUGAGUAUCAAGUCAAGUAUUUAGAUGAAGUAACAGCAUUCUGAUAGCACAAGAGGAGGAAUUUUUAUACUGCUGAAUUAUUUCCUUGCCAAAUAGCUAGACAGAUUCCUUAGCUUCAUUAUUGGUGCUCUAGGAAAGAAAAUUUCCUUUUAGAAGCUUCACAUGUUUUUGAUUUUUGGUUUUGGAAGCUUCAAUGACCUGGGGUUUUUGGAUUUUCAUUUUCUUUAUUUAUUUGUUUUAUAUUUUUAAGUAAUAUAUCAUACAUUUCUAUUGCUUGGAUUUGGAUUUCAAACUUAGAAAAUUUGAUAGGUCUGCAAAGCUUCUUUGUCUUUCCUGUUGGGAUUUACAAUUUUGAACUAUUGAUGUAUUCCAAAUAUGGUUACCCUUGUUAUUAUCUUGUUCAUUUACCGAUAUUAGAAAUAUAGUUAUUUUUGAAAAACAAAAAAUGAUUAAGAUUGGUUAGCUCGAGCUUAUAUUUAAAUAUAACAUUUGCAUUAUAGUUCUUUUUAUUCCUACCAUCAAAUAAAAAUUAGGUAGUUUAAUUGUGAUUUUUGUUAAGAUUUCAACUCAAUGGUGCUCCCUUUGAGCCAAAAUUCUGGCAUCGCCACUGGACUUGGUAGUCAAAUCCUUUUUGUGUUCUCUUUAGCUGUUGAUAAAAUGUUAAUAGUCUUCUUGGAAGUGCAACUCUUCACGAGCCAUUUGAAGUCGACACAUCUAAUCCUCCCGCGGAUUAUAGGUAAUCAAAGAUGAUCACAAAAUAGGAUUCACUACUCAAUACAUCUGAUAAUCUUCAAUCAGUGAACUCAAUUGAAGAUUCACAACCAGAAAAUUUCGAUCAGGAAGCUCACAGGUUUAUCUGCCCUCUUCAAAUUGCCACCUUGAAGCGUGUCAUUGAGUCAACAUUGAAGUUUCUUUUAUGUUCGAACAGGCCAUUUUCUAUUUGGGAUCGAUUGGGUUGCUUGGAGAGUAUUGUCCUAUGUCAAGUAAAAACUCACCAUUGCCAGAAAGAAUUGACUGUAUGCAUCACGGGUCAUUUCAGGAAUACCCACAAUUUUGUGGUUGCAGCUGGGUGCAGCAUUCCUUGACUACAGAGGAGGAUCUCUCUUUUCAUGCCGAAAAAUCAUUAGAAGACUUCUACAUGCUGAAAUACUGCAUAUCCUAAAACAGAGGUCUUGAUUAUAAAAAGUCAGAUGGCUCAACUGAGAUGUGCAACGGGUGGUUUUGUUUCGGAUGUGGAUGUGAGGGACAAACUCACAGCCUUCAUUUUGAAGAACCCACCCGAACCAAAGAAAUGUUCCAAAGACAAGAAGGCAAUGCGGAGGGCUGAAAAGGAGUGACUGAAGGAAGGUGAGGCUGCUGAUGAAGAUCAGAAGAAGCUGAAGAAGGAAGUGAAGAAGAAGGGGUCUUCCAAUUUCAAGGAUGGGCCUGCAAAAGUCAACUACAACAAAAAGAAAGCCAGUGGUUCUGAUGAGGAUCAAAGUUCACCAAUUAUAAGUCAGGUUGAUGAGAAAGAAGAGACGGACAAUGAUAAUGACGACAAUGUGCAGUGGCAGACCAACACGUCACUGGAGGCAGCCCGCCAACGCAUCGAAAAGCAAUUGAGAUAACCAUUCCCAUCUUUUUCUGGUAGUGAUAAAUGACAGCAGGUAUAUAGUGCUUGAUCCUGAGACACUUCAACUGAGACCGGGAUUGAAAAAUCAAGUACACGGUCGAGGGUGAAGAGGAAAGUUUAGCGAACAAGCUUCACUUGCUAUAGAAAUGUUGAUCAAUGGAUGGAUCAAUACUGAUUCUGUGAACUUGUUUUUGCUAGUGGUGCAUUCAAUUUUUAUGUGUGGAUCAUCCAUGUUCAAUGCAAGUGCUGGAAUACUUUUGAAGUAUAUCUCAUCUGUGGUCAAGAGCACAUGGAAGGCUUUAAUUCUUAAACAACACAGUGGUAAUUCUUUACCAAAUUUUGGUUCCAUAUGAUCUUUUAUUUAGAACUAAAAGACGAAAGAGAAAGAUGAGAAAAUUCUACAUUCUCUAAUAUGUGAAAUAUGAUAUUCUUUUCAUCACCUUAAUGUUUACAAAUUUGAUUCUAAGUCUUUGUUACUUGAA